Molecule: long non-coding RNA, 1142 nt
Organism: Mus pahari (shrew mouse)
Lineage: Eukaryota; Metazoa; Chordata; Mammalia; Rodentia; Muridae
Exons: 5
Source: RefSeq, a predicted model, not a curated record
GCGAUUCUGGAACCAGAUUUUCACCUGGGUCUCAUUGAGCUGCAGGGACGCAGCAAUCUCCACCCUGCGCGCUCGUGUGAGGGGCCAUAAGGCGCACUGAAGUUCUGCGCGCCGUAGCUUGGACCACAACUCGAGUGGGAAUAAGAAACCCCAAGGUUUCCAGAAGUCUGGACCAGAGAAGAAAAAUGAUAUGAAUGUACAGUGCGCAAGAGGCGGGGCGGGCAGGCGGAGGGCUCGAGGGGAAGGGCACGUGACUCUGUCAGCCAAUAGCUGAGCCGCCUGCGAAAGUUUACCGGCUGCGGCCGUGAUGGAUCACCGUUUCAGUGGCAUUUAAAUCCCCGGCGCUCCUCAGUGUAGGUGACGCGCGCUUGCCCCCCCAGGCAGCCCGGGCCGCGGCGGUAGCUGCGGCCGCUCCCAGAGCUGACUUGGAGCCCUGGGACCAAAGGGAGUCGAGACUGCCUUCUGCGCGCGCCCGGCUCUGCGCGCCUCCACCGCCAGAUGUGGGGGGAUGGGAGGCCCCCUCCGCGGCCCCUUCCCCCACCCAGCCCAGAAAGCUGAACUGGCAAGAGGUCCACGCUUUCCCGAGGAGGCUCAUGCCGAGCUUGGAGCAGUAGGCUUAUGCAGCUCAGAUUCUUUCCCAGCCCCCACCCCGGAGGAAUCAGGAAGGCCACUGAGCAGGGUCUGUUUUUCCUGAACCCAUCCACAGCUGGGAGAUUAAUCAACCACACUGAAAAUGGGGUGGGGGGAGGGAAAGGAAGAGUUGGAAUGUAGAUGUUUGAAACAAAUGUGUAUAAAUAAAUGAAUUUUUGAUAACUCCGUUAUUGACCUAGAGACUAGCAGCUUGGUGAGGGAACUCCACUCCACUUGUCCUAGAACUGGAAGUUUUUGUAGGCACUUUUCCUCUCCACUUUCAAAAGCGUGGGCUAGGGCCAACUCGGGCUGCCCAAGCCCGGUUCUAUUACUAAUGUAACUUUAUGGCUUGAGUCUCAACACUGAAAACCAAAUCCAUUCCCUUAGGGGGGAAAAAAGCCAGAAAAAAAUUUCUUGCCAGAAGGCCUAGCACUUUCUGGUUUUCUUCUUUGUUGCUGUCUGUUGCCGGCUUUGAACAUGCCACCCUAAUAAAAUAUAUUAAGAUUGAAAAA